GCCCUGCCAUUUAUAACAUGUGCUUUCUAAGGUUACAUUAGGUGGGAGAGAGGAGUUGUCACCGUCCAGCUGGGUGGAAGGGAAAAGAACAUGGAUAUGGAGGCAUGGAUAUGGUCUUUGUGGCCAGGCCUGGGAGGCCUCAUAUCCCAUUUUUUCAAAACCCAUUAUUAUGACACACUUAACUUGAAAAGGGUCUGGAACUCAUCUUUAUCACAAAGUCCCUUGGUGGAAAGCCAUUGCUCAGAGAGAAUUCUUCACUGUGAAAAGGGAACGUGGGUUGUUGGUGAUUGGCUAUCUCUGCUAAGCAUAGGGUUAGACAGUACAUAUUAGAGGGAACCUGGUGAGGGAUCUUAUUAGCUAAGAACCAGGGUACAUAAAAUUAUAAAAGGAUUCCUCAGUGGGAUGGAUUGAAAAGAAAAUCAUAAGAAUGUACUUCUUGACAGAUAGAACAUGAACCCUGAGUUGAGAGGGGAGGAUGGAAAAUGGCCAUUGGUACUUUGGUAAGGACUUGAGAAAUUAACCCUUAAAAAAAGGAAGAUGAUAUGGCUUAGAAGUAGCUUACUGAAGCCCUAACUUCUGGUUGUCAGUCUCAACCUGACCUAACUAAAUUAAGGGGCUUUCCUUUUGGUUUCUGGUUCCUAUUUAAUUUAUAUGACAAUGCUCUCAUAUUUCUCCUCUCAGAGUUUUCUGAUUAUUUGUACUGUUGGCAUGCUAUUAUACAUAUCAUCAUCUUCUUUAACUCACAGUAGAUAAGAGAAGGAUAGAAAUGAAACUGCCCAUAGACCAUAACUUGUUAGCAGCUUUAUUUUUCAUUUUAUCCCAGGAUGUGGUUUCUUUCUAGUACUCUUUGGAGGCUAGAAAAAAGGGUAAGAAGAUACUAAGUACUGUCCAGUGUUUGGGACAAGUCUCAAAGACCAGGAAUAUGUUUAUCAUGUCUUCUUUUAAUGUUUUGUAUGGUCAUGGGAAUGUUAUGGAUUCUUGCUGUGGUUUGAUUUUCCCACUUGGAAAACAUAGAAUAGAUUUAUUUUUUUUUUUACUUUAUACUACUGGCCAUGUGGAACUUCUUAGGAAAUCCCAAGAUCUGUGUGUUUGUGAAUAUUAAUUCAUAUUUAGUAUAUAUAUUUUUAUGUUAGUAUAAGUUAGCAAUUUAAGCCAGUGUUUAUAUUCAAUUUUAAACAUACUUUCAUUAUUAUGCACUCUUGGGACAGGAAAAAGUAGUGUUUAGCUUUGUGAACAAAAUAGCAAUACAAACUCAAGUAAUAAAUUUGCAAGGUAUAUCAAACAUUAUUAUGAUGUGCCACAAAACUCACAAGGAUGCACACAAAGCUGGUGUUAUAGCUUGUGUUUACAUGUCUCCCCAAAGCCUCGUGCAGUCAUAGGUGGAGCUUUUUCAGAGGUGGCUGAAUCUAGAGUAUGUGAUUGAUUCAUGGUGCAAUGCUAGGAUCAAAGGUGCUAGGAUUAAGGGUGGGUGAUUACUAAAUCAGUCUGCUGAUUGGUUUGGCACCACUUUAAUCCUGGUAGCUUGGAUACAAUAUAAAGGAAAGAAAGAGGCUUGUCUUAUCCCUUGCUUGCUUUGCUACCUUCUGCCCACCAUGAACUAUUUCUCCUCUGCAAUAUCUGUCUGCCAUGCCACUCUGCCUUGGAGCCAGCUGAUUAUGGACUAAAACCUCUAUAAACUGUGAG
Heterocephalus glaber (naked mole-rat) is the source of this 1683-nucleotide long non-coding RNA. Lineage: Eukaryota; Metazoa; Chordata; Mammalia; Rodentia; Bathyergidae. The record is from Ensembl.